AUUGAACGCUGGCGGCAUGCCUUACACAUGCAAGUCGAACGGCAGCGCGGACUUCGGUCUGGCGGCGAGUGGCGAACGGGUGAGUAAUACAUCGGAACGUACCCUGUUGUGGGGGAUAACUAGUCGAAAGAUUAGCUAAUACCGCAUACGACCUGAGGGUGAAAGUGGGGGACCGCAAGGCCUCACGCAGCAGGAGCGGCCGGUGUCUGAUUAGCUAGUUGGUGGGGUAAAGGCCCACCAAGGCGACGAUCAGUAGCUGGUCUGAGAGGACGAUCAGCCACACUGGGACUGAGACACGGCCCAGACUCCUACGGGAGGCAGCAGUGGGGAAUUUUGGACAAUGGGGGCAACCCUGAUCCAGCAAUGCCGCGUGUGUGAAGAAGGACUUCGGGUUGUAAAGCACUUUUGUCCGGAAAGAAAUCGCGCUGGUUAAUACCUGGCGUGGAUGACGGUACCGGAAGAAUAAGCACCGGCUAACUACGUGCCAGCAGCCGCCGUAA
This 500-nucleotide ribosomal RNA is filed under the name uncultured bacterium. RNAcentral's name for it is "partial 16S ribosomal RNA". It matches the Rfam family "Bacterial small subunit ribosomal RNA", at positions 29 to 523 of the family's 1533-position model. The record is from RNAcentral.